CUGAAUAGCUAUAUACGAAGCUGGAUAUAUAGUAAAAUUGUGGGAGCAGGGCUUAGGUCCUGGCUGAAGUUUAUGGCGUGCACGGGCGAGGGAGAACACCAUCGACUCUUAAGAAGAAACGCAACAAGAUAAAGAACGAAGAAGGCAUCACUCUCUAAAUAAAUACAAUAACUUCAAAGUAUCAUUAUUUCUCCAAAUUUACAUGGUAGCUAGUGAAAUUGGAGUCGAGUUACUUUGCGCGUCGCUUUGAUCCGCAGUUCCUAGAGCUGAGAGCCACAGAUGGAUCCAUUACACUUGUGCGCCAAUAUGCUAGCUACACAAGUAGAUAGCUUACCCGUAUGGACUAUAUCAUAGCUGUAUGAUUGACCAAACAUGUUUGAAAAAUUUAAGAAAAACGAAAAUAUGUGAAGUUGGAGUUCUUUAUACAGCCACUUUAAUGCUUAAAACACUGUUAUCAAUUUGAAUCCUGGUGUUCUGAAUGUAUACAUUAGGUGUACAUCUGCAUUGUUUACCCGAUUUUUCUCAAAUGGCAUGAGUUGACUCGUUACUGCGAUAAAGGCACUCUAUCAGAUUUAGUCACUCCACGAGAGUAAAUAAAUCUUGGUAUUCAACAAGAAUUGGCAUGCAAUAGUAAUGUUUUAUUAUAUUGCCUAAUUGAUACUUGUUUGUUGCGUUUGAAUCAAAUGCGUUUUCAGAAAUCAAAAUGCGUUUGUAGAUGUUCAAAAAGUGACCGCCUCGAUUAUUUUAAAAUGCCUUUAACCAAUCAAGUAUAUAUAGUAAUUAAGUUUCAAACAAAAGAACUUGAACGAUUUGAAUGAUAAAAAUCGACAUAAAAUUUAUCACGGGCACAAGAUUAAUAAAAAUGUUUGUUGGAAUAUCGUGAAUUAAUCAAUGGACGAAAAUCCUCACUGGAGUAAAAGACAAUUUAUAAGAACACGACCGAUAUUUUUCCUAAAAUAAGAAAAAAAUAAAGGGCUGAAGCAUAACAUAAAAUAAUAAUAUGAAACAUAUAGAUAUAUUGUCUAGAAAUAGAUUUUAGUAACUGACAAUGUAGAAAGUAGAAUUUUUAAA
Hydractinia symbiolongicarpus is the source of this 1071-nucleotide long non-coding RNA. RefSeq lists it as uncharacterized. The record is from RefSeq and is a predicted model, not a curated record. The transcript has 2 exons. Lineage: Eukaryota; Metazoa; Cnidaria; Hydrozoa; Anthoathecata; Hydractiniidae.